AUUGAACGCUGGCGGCAUGCUUUACACAUGCAAGUCGAACGGCAGCACAGGGAGCUUGCUCCUGGGUGGCGAGUGGCGCACGGGUGAGUAAUACAUCGGAACGUGUCCUAUUGUGGGGGAUAACUGAUCGAAAGAUCAGCUAAUACCGCAUAAGACCUGAGGGUGGAAGUGGGGGAUCGCAAGACCUCACGCGAUUGGAGCGGCCGAUGCCUGAUUAGCUAGUUGGUGAGGUAAAGGCUCACCAAGGCGACGAUCGGUAGCUGGUCUGAGAGGACGACCAGCCACACUGGGACGGAGACACGGCCCAGACUCCUACGGGAGGCAGCAGUGGGGAAUUUUGGACAGUGGGGGCAACCCUGAUCCAGCCAUGCCGCGUGCAGGAUGAAGGUCUUCGGAUUGUAAACUGCUUUUGUCAGGGAAGAAAAGGUCUGUGUUAAUACCAUAGACUGCUGACGGUACCUGAAGAAUAAGCACCGGCUAACUACGUGCCAGCCGCCGCCGUAA
This 504-nucleotide ribosomal RNA is filed under the name uncultured bacterium. Its description in RNAcentral is "partial 16S ribosomal RNA". It matches the Rfam family "Bacterial small subunit ribosomal RNA", at positions 30 to 523 of the family's 1533-position model. The record is from RNAcentral.